ACUGCACCUGCAAUAUAUGGAAAUUCCUGGGCCAGGGAUUGAAUCAGAGCUGAGACUGAGGCCUACACCACAGCCAUGGCAACACCAGAUCUGUACCGCAUCUGUAACGUAUGCCGCAACCUGAGGCAAUGCUGGAUCCAUAAUCCACUGAGCAAGGUCAGGUCUUGAACAUACAUCCUCACAGAGACAACAUCGGGUCUUUAACCCUCUGAGCCACAAUGGGAACUCCUGCAGUGACGUUAAAGAUUAGAGCUACUGGGAAUACAGAGAAUCAACUGUGUCAGCUUUUAGAAGUGUGAAAUGUGAAUCAGGACAGGGCAUGAGCCCACAGGGGCGGGUCAGGGCCCACCUGGCUGCAGAGGGCACCACUUCAGAAGAAUUUCUGUACCCAAUGGCUGUUUUUUUAUAGGAUCUGUAUACCCAGUGGGGAUGAAGGCUCAGGAGUCAGAUGAGAUAAUACAGGAGUCUGAACUGUCUUAAUUGGGUAAAUUAACUCUGGGUUUAAUCUCAGGUAUAAUAAUUCCCUUCUCCUCCUGCAUUUUUGGGAAGCUCCUCCUUUCAGACCUCCAAGAGAAAACACUAAUAGAAAUUCCUGCUGUGGCUCAGUGGAAACGAAUCUGACUAGUAGCCAUGAGGAUGCAGGUUCAAUCCCUGGCCUUGCUGAAUGGGUUAAGGAUCCAGUGUUGCCGUGAGCUGUGGUGUAGGUAGCAGACACGGCUUGGAUUCCAUGUUGCUGUGACUGUGGUGUAGGCCGGCAGCUGUAGCUCCAGUUUGACCCCUAGACUGGGAACCUCCAUAUGCCAAGGGUGUGGCCCUAACAAACAAACAAACAAACAACAAAAAACACCAACAGAGGAGUUACCGCUGGUGUCUGGGGAGUGCUGGAUUCAGGUUUGAUCCUGGGCCUGGCACCGUGGGUUAAGAAUAUGGCAUUGCCACAGCUGCAGCUUAGGUCACAACUGCAGCUCAGAUCUGAUCCCUGGCCUGGGAACUCCAUGUGCUGCAGGGUGGCCAAAAAAGAAAAAGAAGAAAAACAUUAGCAGAAAGCUUUCCAACAGGAAGACCUGAAGAAACACAAAGAUCUGUGAAAAUCUAGUUUUACUUUAGACUUGAUAGGAAAUGUUAUCAAAACGGGCUGUUAGCUGCCAAAAUGAAAGUGAAGGCUUUUCUUUCACCUCUGCUGCUACUGUCCACAAAGACCUCUUUUCUUUUCAUUAGACCUCUGAUGCCAACACGGUGCCAAACCUCCCCGUUCUGGCAUGCUUCCUCAUGCCACAAUUCAAACCCCGCCCUGAUGCAUCUGGUGAGCUUUAAAAACCCCUGAUGUUGGACCCCCCACUUCAAACCAAUCAAAUCAGAACUUCUGGGAGAAGGGACCAGAGUGUGGGUAUAUUUUCGAUGCCCCAGUGAUUUUCUAUAUGGGCCCCAAGUGACCGAGGUAGGCCUGGGACAGUGAUUUGCAAUCCUGGCUGCAAUGAAAUCGCUCUGGGACUUAAAUCUUAGGUGAAUUGAUUCAGAACUCCUUGGAGGUAGAGAAAGCCUGGGCAUUGGUAUAUAUAUUUUUUAAAAUCCUUGAGAUGCCUUGGCUAUGUGAGAUGCUACAGUUAUCCUGUAUUUGACAUUUUAAAAUAAAAUCUGCUGGAGAAAAGCAAGGAAGGAAGAGUGGAGAAAGAGUUGAUGCUAAAUAGGAAAGUGGAAAAAUAAUUGAGACUGGCCAUUGGGUAUCUUCAAAGAUCCUAGUUCUUUUUUUUGGGGGGGGGGUGUUUUUAGUACUGCACCUGUGGCAUGUGGAAGUUCCCAGCUAGGGACUGAAUUGCUGAAUUGGAACUACAGCUGCUGGCCUAUGCCACAGGCACAGCCAUGCAGGAUCUGAGCCACAAAUGGGACCUGCACCACAGCUCUUGGCAACGACAGAUCCUUAACCCACUAAGCAAGGCCAGGGAUGGAACCCACAUCCUCAUGGAUACUAGUUGGUUUCGUAACCCGCUGAGCCGUAAUAGGAACUCCAAAUCCAUUGAGUCUUGACCUGGGAAGGGAGGCGGGUGGACCACUGAGGGAAGCAGGUAGUUUGGGGGGCAGAUCUGGGGUUACAUUAUCACAGAUGAGGUGCCCUGGUGAGGUCUGCUACUGGCAGUUUGGCUGCUGCAGUGGCCAGAUCUUUGGGACUGAUAUCAGGACUCAGAGCAGGUCUUCAGUGACCACUGACACAGUGGUUCCUCUUCUUCAGGGCCCCCGUCUCUCAAACAGUAAGAGGUGGUAGCAGAGUGCAGAGUGGAUGCUUGCUCGUGUCUUGCACAGAUCGCCUUUACUGGGCUGGUGCAUUGAUCCUCUAGUUGCUAAGAGCUGGCUGCUAGUGGCUUACAGAUGCCUCCUUUUCCCAGAGAGCUGCCUUCUGCUAAAUAGUCACUCCCCUGAGAUGUCACACCCCCAUUUCUCUCCAUCCUGGCCAGGAGAGACAGCCCACAGACAAUGACUGAGUAGCAGGGGAGCUGAAGUCUGACUCCCUUGCCUCAGGAUGGGACCAAUUGCAGGGCAAUCUGUGUGCUCUGUCACAUCAAGGUAAAGCUAGAGUAAUUGCAGCCAAAUCCUUGCUUACAAUUCUCCUGCCCUCACUCAUCUGACUUCCCUCACUCCCCUUCUUCUUCUUCCUUAAGAAAUCCUU
RNAcentral lists this long non-coding RNA (2662 nucleotides) under Sus scrofa (pig). RNAcentral's name for it is "lncRNA (ENSSSCG00000056168.1)". Lineage: Eukaryota; Metazoa; Chordata; Mammalia; Artiodactyla; Suidae. The record is from RNAcentral.